GUGGGGAAUCUUGCGCAAUGGGCGAAAGCCUGACGCAGCCAUGCCGCGUGAAUGAUGAAGGUCUUAGGAUUGUAAAAUUCUUUCACCGGGGACGAUAAUGACGGUACCCGGAGAAGAAGCUCCGGCUAACUUCGUGCCAGCAGCCGCGGUAAUACGAAGGGGGCUAGCGUUGCUCGGAAUUACUGGGCGUAAAGGGGGCGUAGGCGGACAGCUUAGUCAGAGGUGAAAGCCCAGGGCUCAACCUUGGAAUUGCCUUUGAUACUGGCUGUCUUGAGUUUGGGAGAGGUGAGUGGAACUCCGAGUGUAGAGGUGAAAUUCGUAGAUAUUCGGAAGAACACCAGUGGCGAAGGCGACUCACUGGCCCAAUACUGACGCUGAGGCGCGAAAGCGUGGGGAGCAAACAGGAUUAGAUACCCGUGUAGUCC
This 425-nucleotide ribosomal RNA is filed under the name uncultured bacterium. RNAcentral describes it as "partial 16S ribosomal RNA". It matches the Rfam family "Bacterial small subunit ribosomal RNA", at positions 354 to 796 of the family's 1533-position model. The record is from RNAcentral.